GGCUCCAUAGUGUAGUGGAUAGCACGUCUGCUUUACAUGCAGAAAGUCCUGGGUUCACGACUUAGGUGGAGCCA
RNAcentral lists this transfer RNA (74 nucleotides) under Pteropus alecto (black flying fox). It matches the Rfam family "tRNA". From Rfam's summary of the family: Transfer RNA (tRNA) molecules are approximately 80 nucleotides in length. Their secondary structure includes four short double-helical elements and three loops (D, anti-codon, and T loops). Lineage: Eukaryota; Metazoa; Chordata; Mammalia; Chiroptera; Pteropodidae. The record is from Rfam by way of RNAcentral.